AUGCUCUUCUUUCCAUUUAGAUGGGUUCAGUGGGUCCUGCCAGAAGUUGACCUUAGGAGGUCCAUGAUGAUCUCCACCACCGGCUAGACCGCGCCGAUGGAUGAGGGAAGCAGCUUGAGGAGCUGAAGCAACUCUUGGAGAGGAAAGCGUAGUGAGAUUCGCGGCUUGACGAGCAGCCGCAGUCCAUGCUGCCAUGAUUGUUUACCCUAGAGAGUGGAAGUUGAGAGAAACUGCGAGAGUGAGAGAAACAAGAAGCAACAGAUGCG
This 266-nucleotide unclassified non-coding RNA is filed under the name Hevea brasiliensis (rubber tree). Lineage: Eukaryota; Viridiplantae; Streptophyta; Magnoliopsida; Malpighiales; Euphorbiaceae. The record is from RNAcentral.